RNAcentral lists this ribosomal RNA (468 nucleotides) under uncultured bacterium. Its description in RNAcentral is "partial 16S ribosomal RNA". It matches the Rfam family "Bacterial small subunit ribosomal RNA", at positions 28 to 507 of the family's 1533-position model. The record is from RNAcentral.
GACGAACGCUGGCGGCGUGCUUAACACAUGCAAGUCGAACGGAAAGGCCCUGCUUUUGUGGGGUGCUCGAGUGGCGAACGGGUGAGUAACACGUGAGUAACCUGCCCUUGACUUUGGGAUAACUUCAGGAAACUGGGGCUAAUACCGGAUAGGAGCUCCUGCUGCAUGGUGGGGGUUGGAAAGUUUCGGCGGUUGGGGAUGGACUCGCGGCUUAUCAGCUUGUUGGUGGGGUAGUGGCUUACCAAGGCUUUGACGGGUAGCCGGCCUGAGAGGGUGACCGGCCACAUUGGGACUGAGAUACGGCCCAGACUCCGACGGGAGGCAGCAGUGGGGAAUAUUGCCCAAUGGGCGGAAGCCUGAUGCAGCAACGCCGCGUGCGGGAUGACGGCCUUCGGGUUGUAAACCGCUUUCGCCUGUGACGAAGCGUGAGUGACGGUAAUGGGUAAAGAAGCACCGGCUAACUACGUG